This 497-nucleotide ribosomal RNA is filed under the name uncultured bacterium. RNAcentral describes it as "partial 16S ribosomal RNA". It matches the Rfam family "Bacterial small subunit ribosomal RNA", at positions 28 to 507 of the family's 1533-position model. The record is from RNAcentral.
GACGAACGCUGGCGGCGUGCCUAAUACAUGCAAGUUGAGCGCUGAAGGUUGGUACUUGUACCAACUGGAUGAGCAGCGAACGGGUGAGUAACGCGUGGUGAAUCUGCCUUUGAGCGGGGGACAACAUUUGGAAACGAAUGCUAAUACCGCAUAAAAACUUUAAACACAAGUUUUAAGAUUGAAAGAUGCAAUUGCAUCACUCAAAGAUGAUCCCGCGUUGUAUUAGCUAGUUGGUGAGGUAAAGGCUCACCAAGGCGAUGAUACAUAGCCGACCUGAGAGGGUGGUAGGCCACAUUGGGACGGAGACACGGCCCAAACUUCUGCGGGAGGCAGCAGUAGGGAAUCGUCGGCAAUGGACGAAAGUCUGACCGAGCAAGGCCGAGUGAGUGAAGAAGGUGUUCGGAUCGUAAAACUCGGUUGGUAGAGAAGAACGUUGGUGAGAGUGGAAAGCUCAUCAAGUGACGGUAACUACAGAGAAAGGGACGGCUAACUACGUG